AUUGAACGCUGGCGGCAGGCCUAACACAUGCAAGUCGAGCGGAUGAAGGGAGCUUGCUCCUGGAUUCAGCGGCGGACGGGUGAGUAAUGCCUAGGAAUCUGCCUGGUAGUGGGGGAUAACGUCCGGAAACGGGCGCUAAUACCGCAUACGUCCUGAGGGAGAAAGUGGGGGAUCUUCGGACCUCACGCUAUCAGAUGAGCCUAGGUCGGAUUAGCUAGUUGGUGGGGUAAAGGCCCACCAAGGCGACGAUCCGUAACUGGUCUGAGAGGAUGAUCAGUCACACUGGAACUGAGACACGGUCCAGACUCCUACGGGAGGCAGCAGUGGGGAAUAUUGGACAAUGGGCGGAAGCCUGAUCCAGCCAUGCCGCGUGUGUGAAGAAGGUCUUCGGAUUGUAAAGCACUUUAAGUUGGGAGGAAGGGCAGUAAGUUAAUACCUUGCUGUUUUGACGUUACCAACAGAAUAAGCACCGGCUAACUUCGUG
Molecule: ribosomal RNA, 484 nt
Filed under: uncultured bacterium
Lineage: Bacteria
Description: partial 16S ribosomal RNA
Rfam family: Bacterial small subunit ribosomal RNA
Source: RNAcentral